GGUCGUGUGGCCCAAUGGCAAGGCGCUUGACUACGAAUCAAGAGAUUCCAGGUUCGAGUAAGGCAUAACCU
Molecule: non-coding RNA, 71 nt
Organism: Friedmanniomyces endolithicus
Lineage: Eukaryota; Fungi; Ascomycota; Dothideomycetes; Mycosphaerellales; Teratosphaeriaceae
Source: the annotation of a GenBank genome assembly